AGCUUCCCGCAGUGGCCGUAUGGUAACCAAUGAGGUUUAUCCGAGGCGCGAUUAUUGCUAAUGGAAAACUUUUCCCAAUACUCUGCUGUGAUGACUUGCAAUAUAGUCAGCACUGGCAAUUUUGGACGGUCUCUACGGAGA
This is a small nuclear RNA of Otolemur garnettii (small-eared galago), 141 nucleotides long. Its record names the gene U4. It matches the Rfam family "U4 spliceosomal RNA". Rfam says of the family: U4 small nuclear RNA (U4 snRNA) is a component of the major U2-dependent spliceosome. NCBI's taxonomy places the organism in Eukaryota, Metazoa, Chordata, Mammalia, Primates, Galagidae. The record is from Ensembl.